UUGCCAUUGUGUGUGAAUGUUUUUGUUUUGAUAUGAGAACAAAUACGCACAAUGUUUCGAUGUAUGUCUCGUUGGUGGUCGUUCGGUCUGUAGGUCGGUCGGUAGGUCGUUUAUUCGUUUGUUUGUUGUCAAGUUUUGCUGUUGUUCACUUUUUGCUACAAGUCAGUUCUUUUUAAGUUGUAGCCAUGGUCGUACGUACUACAUAGAGCCCUCCCCGAGAGACAGCCAGCCAGCCAGCCAGCCAUGUGUGCUAGAAGUAGAGAGUAAAACAAAAACAACAAUAAAAAAAACAUAAACACUUGAACUCGUGAAGGAGAAAAAAAAACAAACUUUUUGGAUACUUUGAAAAUAAAAAAAAAAUAAAAACAAUUUUUUUUUGUUAGAAAAACCAAGAGAGUUUGAAAAAAAAGAGAGAGAGAGAGAGAGAGAGAGUGCUAGCCAUUGUGUGUGGGAAUAUAUUGGCCUAACCUCUCAAACGCCCCCUCGUAAAUGAAACGAAUGAAAUGAUAUAUCAUUUGACUUUCGUUAGAGUUGUUGGCGUUCGUUCUCAUUACAAUUUCAACUGAGUUCUGAGUGUGUGUGUGGCCGGCCGUUUCGUGCUGUUAAUUCUCUGUGGAUUUUCAUUAGAUAUUCGGACGCCCAAGUGAGCAAACGUAGAGCAAAAGCAAGCAAGCAAGACUCAUCACACUCAUAACAAACGCUUUCAGUUCUUCCCAAAAAAAAACCCCGACCCCCCUACCCCAUCCCUGGUGUGUUGGGUAUUUACAAUGUAUUAGAAUCCGAAUCCGGUAGAUAGAACAAGAAGAGCAGCGCAUUGUUUUUGUUGCUGUUGUCUCUAUGCAUGGAUGUGUGUGUGUGUGUGUGUGUCAGCUGUAUGAACAUUGUUCGUUCGUAUUUUUUCGCAAGUGUUAACGUCGAACGCUCAGUUUGAUUUUAAGCGUUUAUUUAAAAAGCUGAAAUCGUCGCGUAAGCAACACUCGUGCUAGCGCUAAACUUGGAAUAUUUGAAAAUUACAAAACAAAUAAAGCAAACGAUUUGAAAGUCCCACAAAUAAAUGGAAUUAAUAGAAUCUAUGUUUUGAAAAAGAGAAAAAAAUCAAAAGAAAGAAGAAAUAAAAUUCUUAGAAAUCCAGUGACCUCUUGACCAAUGGCCUGUUAUUAAAACUCCAAUUGGAAGUGUUGCCAUAGCAAUCGAGUUUUCCUUAGAAAAAAAAUCUGUGCAAUAUACAAAAAAAAAAAAUGAAAAUGGUCAUGCUGUAGUCCUUAAAGUCCCCCGAAAAGUCUUCUCAGAGAAGGGAGAUUUUUUGAAAUAAAAAUACCAAUUUAAGAAAAAAUUUAAUAACAAAAUUGAAAAAGUGCCUAAAAAAUAUUUCAAAAAAAAAAAUACAAAAACAGGGAUUAAAGGGAAAUUACAAAAAACCAAAUACUCCCCCCUCUCCCCGGAAACACCAAGUGCAAUUUUUACACAAAAAAACCAACAACAAAAAAUGUUAUAAAAUUUAAAACAAAAAAACAACAAUGUUAACCACAGUGCCCUUAUUGAAAGAAAAACAACAACAACAAAAGCUAUGAAAAAUAACAACAACAACGAUACAAAUGUUUAAAAUAUAAGAAAAAAAGAAGAACAACAAAAACCAAACCGGCUUGGCCUUAUUUUUUUAUUAAUGAAAAUAUUAAAAAAAAUAAUAUUGAAAAAAAAAAUAUAAAAAACUGCAAAAACUUAUAUAAUUUACUUCAUCUUUAUCUCCAUGUGAAUAUAUUAUAUAUAAAAUAUAUAUAUACAAAAGUGCCUACAAUUUGUGUAUCUGUGUGUGCGUGCGUGUGCAUUUCAUUAUUUAAUUGUUAUUAUUUUUUUAUUAAUACUACAUCAAAGCAAAAAUUAUUGCAUCUCCUCACAACAACAACAAAAGAUAUAAUAAAUUUUAAUCAUUUGGAAAUUUUAUUAAACACCUUCGCCGCCUCAGCCCCUUGCUUUUUUCCAGAGCAAGCUAUCAAACAGCUGUUUUGUUUACCAAUCAAUCAGCUGUUUACUCUCUCCGGAUAUUAAUUCAACGAAUUUCCAAAUAUUCGGCCUUGAAUAUUCAUAAUUAUGUUAACCAUUGUUGUAUUGGGUAAUGGAUGUUCAACGUUUAAACAAUUUCCAGCAAGCAUACCCAGCUCACCAUAAUCCCAAAUUUAAAAAUUUUGAAUUCUAAAAAAAAUACAAAAACAAGAGAAAAAAAUUCUAAGAACAAAAAUAAAAACAAAAAACUUUGUAACGAAGGCCUUAAACUGUGAUUUUAAUUUAUAAGUGUUACAAACAAAGCAACAACAAAAAUAUUUUUAGCUUAGCAAAAAAAGCUAAAAAAAGCAACAGCCUUAUUUUUUGCAAAAAAUUAAAAAACAACAACAAAAUAGUUUAUAAACAACCGGAAAAAUGUUUAAUUUAAAUAUACCUCCCUCUUCGUUGCUGGGUGUGGAAGGCUCCGGUGGCCUGUGCUCCAAGCCCAAUACACCCGAAAUUCUCAAUUCUCUAAUUGCCAUGACAAAUCCCCUGGAUAAUUAUAAUUUUAAUGCCAACAACAACAACAACUCCAGUGCCUCAACACCGAGUUCGGUGACAGUGCGCAAUUUUAACAACCAGAAUAUCUCCCAGGACAGCUGUCAUUCGAGCAGCUCCUCAACACCAUUGGAUUCACCUGCAAAUACAAAUUUUACUCCCAGUGUACAACAGACCUGUUCGCAGCUAAUCAAAGCCGGUCUCAAGCUAUCCAUCCAAAGCAAACGCAAACUAUCCACCUGUGAUUCCAGCUCCGGCUCGGAACAGCCCAUGUCGAAGUGUUCGCGACCCAACGACGAAUACGACGAGACCACCGACGAUGACAGCGAACAGAAGAGCUGUCCCAACAGUGUCAAGGGCCUGACACCCGAGGACGAGGAUCGGCGUCGUCGUCGCCGUGAGCGCAACAAAAUUGCCGCCACCAAGUGUCGCAUGAAGAAACGCGAACGCACCCAAAAUCUCAUCAAGGAGGCCGAACAGCUGGACAAUCAAAAUGUUGAUUUAAAGAAUCAGGUGCGUCAGCUGGAAACGGAACGACGCAAACUCUUAGACAUGCUAAAGGCCCACGAACCGAACUGCAUACAUCCGGGUGGUUUGAAUUUGCCCUCGAAACUGUUGCAAUCACCUGCUUUUAAAUAUUUGGCGGAUUUGAAUUUGGAAGAUGUAGCGAGCGGUUUGAAUUCGGCCAACACUUCUGCAUCUGCCUCGAAUGUUACAAACAACAACAACAGCAAUCCGAACUCUGCCCUACAACAGGCCACUCCGCAACGCACCGCUAUCCCACCGAUGUCGACUAUCAAAUUUUCACGCAGUAACGGUUUCAAGGCCGCCGCAGCCGUGGUCUCCGCCGCUCUUACCAAUCCCGUUUCAAUUGUAUCUCAACUUCCCAGUCUGGCGCAGAACUCGCCCUCGGUCAUGCACCACCAGAACGCUGCUGUACAAUUGCCCAAUGGCUAUUGUAAACCCUCGCCCACCACCCACCAGGAACUGGCCUAUCUGAAUUCGCCCUCACAGGACAGCAAUUCGCUGUGCCUGGCCGCCGCCUUGCAGGUCCAGACACAUCUCAGCAACAACACAAGCACACCCACCGCCCAUCAGAAUGCCCUUAACAGCUCAGCUUCCAGCCUAGUUGGCGGCCAUUCCAUGGCCGAUUACAUUCCAAACUGUGACUCCGGUCUGGGCCUGUCCCUGGCCCACACACCCACCACCUGCCGGACGCCCAUCAGCAGCAAUGGCGGCGACAGCAGUGCCCUGCUGGCCAGUGUGGCCAGUCCCAUGUCCUGUGUCUCCACUCCCACCACAGCCACCGAAUUCGUGAAGAACGAACUGGUCGACUCCCAGAGUCCCUAUACGACAGCUCAAUCGGCCGAGAGAUUUCUGUUCGAGAGCAAUUGUGAUAGCUUCGUGGACAUCAAGCAUGCCGUGAAUGUCCAUCAGCCGAUCAGCCACAAUCAUGGCGGGCCGACUUUGCUGCAGAACACCAAUGGCGGUGGCAACCUGCUGGACUUUGCCACCACCCUGAUGGGAGGCGGCAAUAGCAGUGGCAGCAUUGUACCCUUCCAUGAGCAGAUAUCCAUUAAAAAUGAUUAUCUUCAUGAGGCCGAUCUGUUGGCCCAGCUGACAGGAGAUGGUGCCGAAUUUGUGGAUCUGGAUACUGGGGUGGCAGCUGCGUUUAUGGCCAAUGGUGGUUGCUUGGCUUAGAUCCAUCCCGUUUUUUUUUUCCAAACAUUUCUGUCAUGCACUCAGAGGUUUGCUAAAUGUCGUAAUUGAACAUAUUUUUGUAUUAUUAUCAAUGUUUUUUUUUUUUAACUUUUAUACAACAACAACAACAAUAUUUUUUUCUUUUUGUAAUUUUGCUGGUCAAAACCAAAUACGAAAAAAAUUUGAAAAAAAAAAAAACAAAAAUUGUCUGUUAAGUGAAAAGCAUAAAAAACAGAAAAAAAUGAAUGUGGAAAACGAAAACAAUGGCUGCUAUGUGUAACGUCAGUGGAGAGAGAUACGAAAAAGAUCGGUUGGCAACCGCUGCUACAAGGCCUACAAAAGUGAUUACUCCGAAACAUAUCUGCUGGGUUGAGUUUUCCAAUUAAUGACUUCCUUCCUCUCUGGGAAAUAUGGCUGCUAGCUACCUAACCUCCCAAAAAAAAACCUAUGUAAACCAUUUUUUCAGAAAGAAAAAACCCGAAACACCUUGGUUCCAUUUCCACAUUGUGUUUUGCUGUUGUCCCCAUCCGCAUAAAUCUCUUAGAUAUCCAUCCAGUUUUUUCGUUUCUAUUUUGUUAAUUGACCAUCAACAUGCAAUUUAAGUCUUCCAUUUUGAUAGUUGUCUUGUGUUUAUUUUAAGAAUUUUUUUUCGUUUGUUUUUGUAAGUUUUGUCUUCUUCCUCUCCGUUUGCCUAUUAAGCAAUCAAUUUUAAUGACGACCCACCUUAAUAAUUAUCGAGAGCUUAGUUGUGGUAUUUUCGUGUGCGUGUGUGUGUAUUUCCAUUAAGAAAAUCUACUUCCGUUAACUCUUUGUUAGACCACUUCCGUUAUUGCAAUACUCGCUCUCACUAUCUCUUUCUUUGGUAAAUCAAUUAAUUGAGUUGUCAGAUUGAGAAAAGUGAGAAAUGUGUUAUUUAAUGAGAGAUAAAAAAACGCCAAAUUGGUAACAUUAAAGAGGGAAGAGAAAUGAGAGAUAAAAAAACUGCCAAAUUGCUAACAUUGCAGCAGGGGUAGAAAUGUUCAAUUUAAAAUAAAAAUUCACAAAAAGGAACUUUGUGGACCUCCUACAUUUUCGAUAGAUUCACAAUAAUAAAGAAAUAUGUAAUUGGUGCUAUUAAAUCAGAGAUGGGAAAUUUCAAUUAAAAACGAAUGAGAGAUGAUGUAUAAAAAACGUAUUUUUUGUGAUGAAAGAAAAACAUGUUUCUUGAAAACGUCAGUUUGAAUCAGGCAUGGAAAAUAUAAUUUAAAAAUACACAAAAAUGAUAAAAUGAGUACCAAUUGGCAUCAUUGAUUCAAAGAAUCUUGACCUUGACCAAGACCUCCCUCAGACAGGGAUUGGAAUCCUAAAUUUUCUUUAAUUUCUACUAGGAAAUAGAGGGUCUUUCUCUGAUAUUUUAUUCCAAAAAGCUCUUUGAGCCCAUUGAAUCACUUCAAUUGUUCAGGCAUGGAAAAUAUAAUUUAAAAAAUACACAAAAAUUAUAAAAUGAAUACAAAUUGGCAUCGUUGAUUCAAAGAAGAGAAUCUUGAAUUUCUGGAAAAAAAUAAACAAAAGGAUGAUUACCAACUAUAUUUCCAGAAGAUCUACUAACGAUUAUUUUUGCAAACAAAAACGACGACAAGACCUCCCUCAGACAGGGAUGGGAAUCCUAAAUUUCCCAAAAUUCUACUUGGAAAUAGAGGGUCUUUCUCUGAUAUUUUAUUCAAAAAAGUUCUUUUAGGCCAUUGAAUCACUUCAAUUUUUGCGAUAAGAAUAUUCAUGACAUUUUUGGUCCUUCGAGGAGGCUUAAAGGCAAUAUUGAGACCUUUAUUUGGUCAGAAGAUCUACUAACUAUUGUUUUCACAGACAAAAAGGACUUGAACGCCUCGCUUAAGCAGAAAUGGAAGUCCAAAAUUUCCCAAAAGUUUCAGACAAGGUUUUUGAACCUUUCACGAUAUUUAGAACUUGAGAAAAGAUAUUUUCAACUACUUUGUUGAUUUUAUAUGCCUUCCCAAAUUAACUAGAUCCAUUUAAGUACUUUUUGGUCCUUCGAGGAGGCUUAAGAGGCCUUUUAAGGAUUUUGGAUUUUAUUAAAAAAAGGUGAAGGUUCUAAAUCAUUUUCCCAGGUCUUAAUAGAAGACCUUAAAGAGGUCCUCAAUGUCAAAAAGGCCUCCAGAAUAUCUUCUAUGUAUCGAAGAAACCCUCCCAAAGAUUUCAUGUGUGAAGAAGACUUUGAUGAAUUGAAACCUCCUGUAAGUUUUUGAUGGAAAUGCGAAAUUAGAGUGGUUCAUUUUAUCGAGAAUAUCUUCAGGUGCUACUUCAUACCUUACCUUCCCCGAAUUUUUCAUAUUAAGACGGCUUUUACUGAAAACCCAUUAAAUAUUCAAAGAAAUAUGGUCCGUUCCAGAACUGCAAGAAUAUACAAAAUUUUCCCUUUAUAGUAUCGGAAAAAAUUGCAAAAAUAGUAGAUUCUUGCAGGAUCUGAUCAAUAAGAAUUCUACAAAAAGGUAUUCUAUUAAAGAAACCAACUUCCAUCUCUGUCGUUCUCCAUUUUGUUUUUCCUUAAGAAUCCUGUAAAAUAAGUUUUUUUUUUCCAUUGAAAACAAUUUCCAUCUCUGAAGUCCAGCAUUUUGUUUUCAUUCCUCCUCUCUGGCAAUAAUUGAUGCAAUUUCUCUAUCUCUCUCUCUUUCGUACUUUAUCACAUUACAUUUUUUCCAUGUGUUCAUGCUGAAAAAUUUGCAUUGUAAAAACGCUGCAUUGAUAUCACUGGCAUUGAUUUCCGGUUCCCCUUUGCAAAUGGCUUCUCUCUCUCUAUCUUUUUAUCUUAUCCCCCAUUUCUCCCUGAAAUUACUCUUUCUUCGUUUCCAUGAGAAAUUGAAAAAACCGUGUGUGAGUGUGUUUUUCUCUGUUGUGGUUGCCAUCAGUUUUGGGUCUCGAAUAUUGUUGACAGUCAAUUCUCCUCUCUGUAGGGAUGCCAUUAAUUGAAUUAUGCCAUUUUCAGAAAAUCCCACAGAUUUGUUUUCUGGUAAAACUUUUUUAGAGCCCAACUACCUCAAUUUGUUUACAACAAAGAAAAAAAAUGCAAAACAAAACUAAAAAUAGAAACAAUCAAUUAAAUAAACAAAAAAUUAAUUGUCUUUCAAUGCAUUCCAUUAAAAAAAGUUUUAAUUUAUUUGUGAAUUUUUUCUAUUUAAGAGAAAAAUAAUUUAACAAAAAACAAACAAAUUGGAAUAUCAAAUACAUAGAAGAAAAAAUAAAAACAAAAUUCAAGUAAAGCAAAAAAAAACCUACAACAGUAAUUAUUAUUUUUAGUUUAUGUGUGUGUGCAAAAUUAAAAACAAAACUAAAAUUUAAGUUUAACAACAACAAAAAAAUCGAGAUUAAUUGUAAAAAGAAAUUGUUUAAGGAAAAUUAUACUACUCCCCUCUAAAAAUAAAACUUUGGCUUUAUCUUUAUGUUUUUUUUUAAAUCUUAAUUAUUUAAAUGAUAUUUCAUUACCUAGUGAUAAAAAACAAAAACAAAAAAACACAAAUUAUUAUUAACUACAAGGAAACUAACAAAUGCCUAUAACAACAACAACAACAACGGAAAACAAAGAAAAAAAAGUAAUGCCUUAAAUGUUGAAAAAAAUUAUAUUUAAAUAUAUAUUUUACGAAAAAACAAAAACAAA
Musca domestica (house fly) is the source of this 7885-nucleotide long non-coding RNA. RefSeq annotates it as activating transcription factor 3. The transcript has 6 exons. The record is from RefSeq and is a predicted model, not a curated record. Lineage: Eukaryota; Metazoa; Arthropoda; Insecta; Diptera; Muscidae.